UCAUUUUUUAUCACUAAAACAACCCUUAAUCAAAGCAUUUCAAAACCUAUCCAUAACCCACCCACUUUCAGAUAAUUGCAAAUAGCACAAACCUCAAAUGCUCAAUUAACCAAACACGCCCAAAGAGAUCAACAAGUUUUCAUAGCAAACCCGUACCAAAUUACAUUGAAUUGAAUUAAAAGAAAAUGAAAAGUUUUGAAUCCAACACCUGAUUCGUAAUCAAGACGCUUAGAAACCAAUCGACACACGUUGACGACCUCGAUAUGAACCUGAAGCUUUUCGAAACGAAAAAAUCCAUUCUCUCCUUUUUCUUUUUCAAAAGAAAAAAGAGAAAAAAAUCGAUGGAGAACGUGCCAAAAGAAAAGAAAAGAAAAAAGAAACAAUAAAAGAAAUAAAUAAUUAUUUCUUGUUUUUACUUAAACAAAUCUAAUAGUUACAAAAUAAAAAUACCUCUCCAAAAUGCACACGAGGAAUCAAACCCAAAACCCAAAGGUACAUUGACAUUCAACUAACCACCAAACCAGUAGGCCCAUUCUGACACUAAAGCGCGA
This 551-nucleotide long non-coding RNA is filed under the name Gossypium raimondii (Peruvian cotton). Its description in RNAcentral is "long non-coding RNA (GRAI_LNC006344)". Lineage: Eukaryota; Viridiplantae; Streptophyta; Magnoliopsida; Malvales; Malvaceae. The record is from RNAcentral.